RNAcentral lists this ribosomal RNA (253 nucleotides) under uncultured bacterium. RNAcentral's name for it is "partial 16S ribosomal RNA". It matches the Rfam family "Bacterial small subunit ribosomal RNA", at positions 524 to 776 of the family's 1533-position model. The record is from RNAcentral.
UACAGAGGAUGCAAGCGUUAUCCGGAAUGAUUGGGCGUAAAGCGUGCGCAGGCGGUUUUGUAAGUCUGACGUGAAAUCCCCGGGCUCAACCUGGGAAUUGCGUUGGAGACUGCAAGGCUGGAGUCUGGCAGAGGGGGGUAGAAUUCCACGUGUAGCAGUGAAAUGCGUAGAGAUGUGGAGGAACACCGAUGGCGAAGGCAGCCCCCUGGGUCAAGACUGACGCUCAUGCACGAAAGCGUGGGGAGCAAACAGG